RNAcentral lists this ribosomal RNA (396 nucleotides) under uncultured bacterium. RNAcentral's name for it is "partial 16S ribosomal RNA". It matches the Rfam family "Bacterial small subunit ribosomal RNA", at positions 523 to 918 of the family's 1533-position model. The record is from RNAcentral.
AUACGUAGGGAGCGAGCGUUGUCCGGAAUUACUGGGUGUAAAGGGAGCGUAGGCGGGAGUGCAAGUCAGAUGUGAAAUAUAUGGGCUCAACCCAUGGGCUGCAUUUGAAACUGCAUUUCUUGAGUGAAGUAGAGGGAAGCGGAAUUCCUGGUGUAGCGGUGAAAUGCGUAGAUAUCAGGAGGAACACCGGUGGCGAAGGCGACUUACUGGGCUUUUACUGACGCUGAGGCUCGAAAGCGUGGGGAGCAAACAGGAUUAGAUGCCCUGGUAGUCCACGCUGUAAACGAUGAUUACUAGGUGUGGGGGGACUGACCCCUUCCGUGCCGCAGUUAACACAAUAAGUAAUCCACCUGGGGAGUACGGCCGCAAGGUUGAAACUCAAAUGAAUUGGCGGGG